This 82-nucleotide non-coding RNA is filed under the name Clostridium carboxidivorans. RNAcentral describes it as "ZTP sequence". It matches the Rfam family "ZMP/ZTP riboswitch aptamer (pfl RNA motif)". Rfam says of the family: Previously known as pfl RNA. Lineage: Bacteria; Bacillati; Bacillota; Clostridia; Eubacteriales; Clostridiaceae. The record is from RNAcentral. RNAcentral also lists the same sequence under 1 other name.
UAGUGAUCAUGUAACUGGCGGAAAUGGAGUUAACCAUAAGGAGCAUGAUUUAAAAAAGUUAUCGACCGCCUGGGUAGAAUAU